This 440-nucleotide ribosomal RNA is filed under the name uncultured bacterium. RNAcentral describes it as "partial 16S ribosomal RNA". It matches the Rfam family "Bacterial small subunit ribosomal RNA", at positions 338 to 795 of the family's 1533-position model. The record is from RNAcentral.
CCUACGGGUGGCAGCAGUAGGGAAUAUUGCUCAAUGGGGGAAACCCUGAAGCAGCAACGCCGCGUGGAGGAUGAAGGUUUUCGGAUUGUAAACUCCUUUUGGUAGAGAAGAUAAUGACGGUAUCUAACGAAUAAGCACCGGCUAACUACGUGCCAGCAGCCGCGGUAAUACGGAGGGUGCAAGCGUUACUCGGAAUCACUGGGCGUAAAGGGCGCGUAGGCGGGGUUGCAAGUCAGAGGUGAAAUCCUAGGGCUUAACCAUAGAACUGCAUUUGAAACUGUGUUGCUAGAGUGUGGGAGAGGUAGGUGGAAUUCUUGGUGUAGGGGUAAAAUCCGUAGAGAUCAAGAGGAAUACUCAUUGCGAAGGCGACCUGCUAGAACGUAACUGACGCUGAUGCGCGAAAGCGUGGGGAGCAAACAGGAUUAGAUACCCCGGUAGUC